AUACGGAGGGUGCAAGCGUUACUCGGAAUCACUGGGCGUAAAGCGCGCGCAGGCGGCUAUUUAAGUUGGAUGUGAAAGCCUACGGCUCAACCGUAGAACUGCAUCCAAAACUAUUUAGCUAGAGCGUGGGAGAGGAAGAUGGAAUUAGUUGUGUAGGGGUAAAAUCCGUGGAGAUAACUAGGAAUACCAAAAGCGAAGGCAAUCUUCUGGAACACUACUGACGCUGAGGCGCGAAAGCGUGGGGAGCAAACAGGAUUAGAAACCCUAGUAGUCC
This 274-nucleotide ribosomal RNA is filed under the name uncultured bacterium. Its description in RNAcentral is "partial 16S ribosomal RNA". It matches the Rfam family "Bacterial small subunit ribosomal RNA", at positions 523 to 796 of the family's 1533-position model. The record is from RNAcentral.